Phragmites australis (common reed) is the source of this 101-nucleotide small nucleolar RNA. RefSeq annotates it as small nucleolar RNA snoR100. The record is from RefSeq and is a predicted model, not a curated record. NCBI's taxonomy places the organism in Eukaryota, Viridiplantae, Streptophyta, Magnoliopsida, Poales, Poaceae. The transcript has a single exon.
AAAGGAAGGAAGAGUGGUAGUGUGCACGGAGAGCGGAGCAUGUCUGCUCUUCGUGACGCCUUCGGGCAUUGAUCGUACGGGCCUGAAUUUGACCCACAUUU